This is a long non-coding RNA of Eriocheir sinensis (Chinese mitten crab), 1829 nucleotides long. RefSeq lists it as uncharacterized. The record is from RefSeq and is a predicted model, not a curated record. The transcript is spliced from 3 exons. NCBI's taxonomy places the organism in Eukaryota, Metazoa, Arthropoda, Malacostraca, Decapoda, Varunidae.
GCUACUUACUGCUCCUAAAUAGAGUAGAGUGGAGUGGAUGCUGAAGGGAUACUGAUAUGCAUGGGAAAUGAAAAGAACCGGUAUUGAGACCAGGGUGAAGGGACUAGAGACGGAAGGGCAGGUAAGGGACUGGAUGCAAGUUUAAUGUAAGGGUAAUGUAAGGAGGUGAGGUAAGAGGAAUGAAAAGGAGGGGUGAAGUUGGAGUGGGAAAUGAGAGGAAACAAGAAUUAGAGGUUACUGAAGUGGAUGGGAGGUGAAGACUGGUGUAUAGUACUGAAUAGAGGGAGAGUUCGUAUGAAAGAAGACACUGAAAUGAAAAGAAAGGGGAUGCAGAGGAAUGAAAAGAAGGGGUGAAGUUGGAGUGGGAAAUGAGAUAAAACAAGAAUUAAAGGUUACUGAUGUGGAUGGGAGUUGAAAAAAGAAUGGCAUAUAUUACUAAAUAGAGGGAGAGUUCGUAUGAAAAAACACACUGAAAUGAAAAGAGAGGGGCUGAAGUAAGCGGUGGCUGAGUGGUUAGCGUGCGGUCCUAGCAUUCACGGCGCCAUGGACAGCGUCGGUUCGAAUCCCCACGCUACCACCUGGGAUUUUUCAGUCACCGCCGAGUGGCCUAAGACUACCCACAUGCUGUCCAGAAAACCUCCCAUCAACCCGGACUCUAGAAGAAACCGUCCAAGUGAAUCAAGAGAUGUAAAAAAAAAAAAAAAAAAAAAAAAAAGUGGGAAGAGAAGUGAAACAGUAACUAGAGGAAACUGAUAUGGAUGGAAAAAUCGAAAAGAGCUGAUACUGAGACAAUUGGGAGUGGACCGGAAACGAAAGGGCAGGUGAGAAAGUGAGUGUAUAGGUAAUGUAAGAAAAUGAGGUAGAUGAGUAGAAUUAAAAGGAGGGGUGCAGUAUCAGUGGGAGAAAGUGGAAGCAGGAAUUAGUGGUUACUGAUAUGGAUGGGUAUUGAAAAGGACCGGGAUCGAAAGGGCAGGUGAGGGAGUGAAUGAAUAGAUAAUGUUAGAAAAUGAGAUAUAGAUGAGUUGAAUGAAAAGGAGGGAUGUAGUGUUAGUGGGAGAAAGGGGAAGCAGGAAUUAGUGGUUACUGAUAUGGAUGGGUAUUGAAAAGGACCGGGAUCGAAAGGGCAGGUGAGGGAGUGAAUGAAUAGGUAAUGUUAGAAAAUGAGAUAUAGAUGAAUUGAAUGAAAAGGAGGGAUGUAGUAUCAGUGGGAGAAAGUGGAAGCAGGAAUUAGAGGUUAGUGAUAUGGAUGGGUAUUGAAAAGGACCGGUUAUAGUACUGAGGCAAAGGUGAAUGGACUGGAUCAUCAUACCUGGGAACGGAAGGGCAUGCAGGUAAGGGAGGGAGGGGGGAGGGAGGAGACAGGUAAGAACACGAUGGUUGAGAAAGUGAGAGGGAGAGAGAAGAAAAAAAAAAGAUUAAUAAAUGUCAGAGAGAGAAAGAGAGGGAGAGAGAGGGAUGCUGGUGCAGGUAUAAAGAAGAUGUGAUAUUGCAGAGGAGACAGAGAUGGAGAUGCUGGUAAGGUAGGGAGAGGUGAGGAUAUGAUGUGAUAGGGGUGAUAUGGAUGCUAGGUGAGGCAGGUAAGGUAUGUGUCAUUAAAUAAAAGUGAAAGUUCAGGUAGAUAGGAAGGAUAUAAUGGUAUAGAUCUGAAAGGAAUGUUAGGAGAGGUGAGAGGAAGUAGAUGUGAUUGUAUAGGGAUGGAAGGGAUGCUAGAGUAAGUAAGGUAAGGGAGAUGGGAUGCUGCAGUGAUAUGAUACUCGAGAUUUGAAAGGAAUAUUGGAAUAGGUAAGAAUAAGGAGAUGUGAUUUUAUAGGGAUGAAAUUGAUGCUUGA